This is a small nucleolar RNA of Nannospalax galili (Upper Galilee mountains blind mole rat), 82 nucleotides long. Lineage: Eukaryota; Metazoa; Chordata; Mammalia; Rodentia; Spalacidae. The record is from RefSeq and is a predicted model, not a curated record.
UUGUUAAUGAUGCUACCAUAUUUAAACUUGAAUUACCUUUGAAGCAAAAAGGGUAAGCUUUUUAAAACUGUAUUUUAACAAU